UACGAAGGGGGCUAGCGUUGUUCGGAAUUACUGGGCGUAAAGGGUGCGUAGGCGGUUUAUUAAGUCAGGUGUGAAAUCCCCAAGCUCAACUUGGGAACUGCAUUUGAUACUGGUAAGCUAGAGAUCGGAAGAGGUGAGUGGAAUUCCUAGUGUAGAGGUGAAAUUCGUAGAUAUUAGGAAGAACACCAGCGGCGAAGGCGGCUCACUGGUCCGAUACUGACGCUAAGGCACGAAAGCGUGGGGAGCAAACAGG
This 253-nucleotide ribosomal RNA is filed under the name uncultured bacterium. RNAcentral describes it as "partial 16S ribosomal RNA". It matches the Rfam family "Bacterial small subunit ribosomal RNA", at positions 524 to 776 of the family's 1533-position model. The record is from RNAcentral.